AGUGAACGCUGGCGGUAGGCCUAACACAUGCAAGUCGAACGGCAGCACAGUAAGAGCUUGCUCUUACGGGUGGCGAGUGGCGGACGGGUGAGGAAUACAUCGGAAUCUACUUUUUCGUGGGGGAUAACGUAGGGAAACUUACGCUAAUACCGCAUACGACCUACGGGUGAAAGCACGGGAUCUUCGGACCUUGCGCGAUUGAAUGAGCCGAUGUCGGAUUAGCUAGUUGGCGGGGUAAAGGCCCACCAAGGCGACGAUCCGUAGCUGGUCUGAGAGGAUGAUCAGCCACACUGGAACUGAGACACGGUCCAGACUCCUACGGGAGGCAGCAGUGGGGAAUAUUGGACAAUGGGCGCAAGCCUGAUCCAGCCAUACCGCGUGGGUGAAGAAGGCCUUCGGGUUGUAAAGCCCUUUUGUUGGGAAAGAAAAGCAGCAGGUUAAUACCCCGCUGUUCUGACGGUACCCAAAGAAUAAGCACCGGCUAACUUCGUG
Molecule: ribosomal RNA, 492 nt
Filed under: uncultured bacterium
Lineage: Bacteria
Description: partial 16S ribosomal RNA
Rfam family: Bacterial small subunit ribosomal RNA
Source: RNAcentral